AACGCACGAGACCUGCGGACCUGCGGAGGGAUCAUUACAGAGUUUUCUAAACUCCCAAACCUUUGUGAACUUACCACUGUUGCCUCGGCGGAAGCUAUUGGGGUUACCCUGUAGCGACCGCCGGUGGACCAACCCAACUCUUGUAAUUUUGAGAAAUCUGAGAGUCUUAUACAAAUAAGUCAAAACUUUCAACAAUGGAUCUCU
RNAcentral lists this unclassified non-coding RNA (204 nucleotides) under soil metagenome. RNAcentral's name for it is "partial contains 5.8S ribosomal RNA, internal transcribed spacer 2, and large subunit ribosomal RNA". The record is from RNAcentral.